CUACGGGAGGCAGCAGUGAGGAAUAUUGCACAAUGGGGGGAACCCUGAUGCAGCAACGCCGCGUGGAGGAUGACGCAUUUCGGAGUGUAAACUCCUUUUAUAUGUCAAGAAAAUGACGGUAGCAUAUGAAUAAGCACCGGCUAACUCCGUGCCAGCAGCCGCGGUAAUACGGAGGGUGCAAGCGUUACUCGGAAUCACUGGGCGUAAAGGACGCGUAGGCGGGUUGGAAAGUCAGGUGUGAAAUCCUACAGCUUAACUGUAGAACUGCACUUGAAACUUCUAAUCUAGAGUAUGGGAGGGGGAGAUGGAAUUAGUGGUGUAGGGGUAAAAUCCGUAGAUAUUACUAGGAAUACCUAAAGCGAAGGCGAUCUCCUGGAACAUUACUGACGCUAAGGCGUGAAAGCGUGGGGAGCAAACAGGAUUAGAUACCCUAGUAGUC
RNAcentral lists this ribosomal RNA (439 nucleotides) under uncultured bacterium. RNAcentral describes it as "partial 16S ribosomal RNA". It matches the Rfam family "Bacterial small subunit ribosomal RNA", at positions 339 to 795 of the family's 1533-position model. The record is from RNAcentral.